GACGAACGCUGGCGGCGUGCCUAAUACAUGCAAGUUGAGCGCUGAAGGUUGGUCCUUGUACCAACUGGAUGAGCAGCGAACGGGUGAGUAACGCGUGGGGAAUCUGCCUUUGAGCGGGGGACAACAUUUGGAAACGAAUGCUAAUACCGCAUAAAAACUUUAAACACAAGUUUUAAGUUUGAAAGAUGCACUUGCAUCACUCAAAGAUGAUCCCGCGUUGUAUUAGCUAGUUGGUGAGGUAAAGGCUCACCAAGGCGAUGAUACAUAGCCGACCUGAGAGGGGGAUCGGCCACAUUGGGACUGAGACAAGGCCCAAACUUCUACGGGAGGCAGCAGUAGGGAAUCUUCGGCAAGGGACGAAAGGCUGACCGAGCAACGCCGCGUGAGUGAAGAAGGGUUUCGGAUCGGAAAACUCUGUUGGUAGAGAAGAACGUUGGUGAGAGUGGAAAGCGCAUCAAGUGACGGUAACUACCCAGAAAGGGACGGCUAACUACGUG
RNAcentral lists this ribosomal RNA (497 nucleotides) under uncultured bacterium. RNAcentral describes it as "partial 16S ribosomal RNA". It matches the Rfam family "Bacterial small subunit ribosomal RNA", at positions 28 to 507 of the family's 1533-position model. The record is from RNAcentral.